This 82-nucleotide transfer RNA is filed under the name archaeon 13_1_20CM_2_51_12. RNAcentral describes it as "tRNA-OTHER". RNAcentral also lists the same sequence under 1 other name. The record is from RNAcentral.
GAUUGGUUGAUGCCUCUGGGAGCGCGGGUGUGUUAUCCCGUGGCGUAGGCCUUCGUGGGUUCGAAUCCCACCCCCCGCACCA